GAUGAACGCUGGCGGCGUGCCUAAUACAUGCAAGUCGAGCGAACGGACGAGAAGCUUGCUUUUCUGAUGUUAGCGGCGGACGGGUGAGUAACACGUGGAUAACCUACCUAUAAGACUGGGAUAACUUCGGGAAACCGGAGCUAAUACCGGAUAAUAUUUUGAACCGCAUGGUUCAAAAGUGAAAGACGGUCUUGCUGUCACUUAUAGAUGGAUCCGCGCUGCAUUAGCUAGUUGGUAAGGUAACGGCUUACCAAGGCAACGAUGCAUAGCCGACCUGAGAGGGUGAUCGGCCACACGGGAACUGAGACACGGUCCAGACUCCUACGGGAGGCAGCAGUAGGGAAUCUUCCGCAAUGGGCGAAAGCCUGACGGAGCAACGCCGCGUGGGUGAUGAAGGUCUUCGGAUCGUAAAACUCUGUUAUUAGGGAAGAACAUAUGUGUAAGUAACUGUGCACAUCUUGACGGUACCUAAUCAGAAAGCCACGGCUAACUACGUG
Molecule: ribosomal RNA, 497 nt
Filed under: uncultured bacterium
Lineage: Bacteria
Description: partial 16S ribosomal RNA
Rfam family: Bacterial small subunit ribosomal RNA
Source: RNAcentral